RNAcentral lists this ribosomal RNA (413 nucleotides) under Candidatus Aminicenantota bacterium. RNAcentral's name for it is "partial 23S ribosomal RNA". It matches the Rfam family "Bacterial large subunit ribosomal RNA", at positions 2513 to 2925 of the family's 2925-position model. Lineage: Bacteria; Candidatus Aminicenantota. The record is from RNAcentral.
ACUGUUUGGCACCUCGAUGUCGGCUCAUCGCAUCCUGGGGCUGAAGCGGGUCCCAAGGGUCCGGCUGUUCGCCGGUUAAAGCGGUACGUGAGCUGGGUUUAGAACGUCGCGAGACAGUUCGGUCCCUAUCCACGGUAGGCGCAGGAGAUUUGAGGGGGGCUGUCCAUAGUACGAAAGGACCUGGAUGGACGAACCUCCGGUGUACCAGUUGUCCCGCCAGGGGCACCGCUGGGUAGCUGCGUUCGGUUGCGAUAACCGCUGAAAGCAUAUAAGCGGGAAGCGCGCCCCAAGAUUAGAUCUCCCUCCCGCAAGGGCUGAAGGGCCCUCGUAGACUACGAGGUUGAUAGGCUGGACGUGUACGUGUGGUGACACACUCAGCGAACCAGUACUAACCGCCCGUGAGGCUUGACCAU